Molecule: long non-coding RNA, 1503 nt
Organism: Papaver somniferum (opium poppy)
Lineage: Eukaryota; Viridiplantae; Streptophyta; Magnoliopsida; Ranunculales; Papaveraceae
Exons: 10
Source: RefSeq, a predicted model, not a curated record
CCGUAUCAUGAAAAAUCCCUCUUUUAAUCCCAUGAAUCUCAUCUCUGAUUUCCCGAUCUCUUUAGAACUCGUUUAUUCACCUGUUUCCUUCACAGAGUUUAUGGUAUGAACCCUAAUAUACCAAAACCAGAAAUCAAAACUAACCUUUGACAGGAAAUCUAUAAACAUUUACUGAGUUUGGGUAACCUAAUCUCAGAUCGAAAAUAAAUCCGGGAAGAGUGGGGUACCAAAUCAAGAAAAAUAGAGUAUAACUCUAGCCCUAUCACUUAUUUUUUGUUAUGAAUUUUGAUUUGAGCUUAUUCAUCCUUGUUUUAAGUUUUUUGCAAGCUGUGUUUGUUUGAUUUCAUAUUUAUGAAGUAAUUUUGUAAAUAAUCUUGUGUACAUCUCUGGAGAGUCGUAUGCAGGGGUAUAUGUGACUACUCUGGCUUCUCAAUUGUGAAGGGUGACUAUCCUUACUGAUCCGAUGAACUGUGACUUAUACUUGAAAAACUAAAAGCAAAAUCUUAGAAAAAAUGGGAUCUUUUUCAAGUCUUGCAGCCGGUAUAAAGCCUGUACUGAACUUCGAGGGUUAUAUGAUAAAAACUGAGGCAACUGACUGGGAAUCACUCUAAGAUGGUUGAGGGUAGCUCUGGAGCUGUCAAUGACAUGGAAACCAUAAUGGUGCAGAAGUUCUGGGAUUCUGCCCUCGUUUAGACCCACUUGAAGAUGAUUGUGACACGCAAAGUGAAUCCGCAUUUAUGGCGUCAGAUAGUAUAGAACCAGGCAAGUCUUAUCCGUUUCUUGGUUUAGGAAAUUCAUUUGCCUUCAAAUUUGAGGAUCAUAAGGGUUGUGUACAUCUGCUCAAUCGCUGUACUGUGAAUUUGGAGAAGCUUGUAUCUACCGUUAUGCAGAGGAUAUGAACUGACAGUGAUCAAGAUCAUCCACAGUUUUUGGUAUGCUUGAUGUUUUAUGUUUCCUUUCUUUCUCAACUUUGUUUGGGGGCACAUUAAUUUUCAAUGUGAAGAUGAUGAAGGGAAUAAAGUUUUACUUACAACUGAUAGUGACCUUGCUGGAGCUAUUAGCCAUGCUCGAACAACGGGUUUGAAGGCACAACUGGGAUUGUGGAUUACACAAACAAUGACGAGAUGAAGUAUGUUGUAGUGUCAAAAAACUCGAUGACCGAGUUCAGGUAUACUUUUUCGGAAGCCUACAUUCCGGUCAAGGAGUAUGAUUCCAAGAGUAACUCUUCUGGAUGAUUUAUUAUAGAAUCAUCUUAAAUAAAAAGACUGCCAAAUACAAGAAGGGAAGUUGGAGAUUGAACCAGGUAACCUAGACUGGCAUGUCCUACCAAUGAUGAGAAGCAAUUUCGGCUUUGCCUUCGAUGAGGUUGGUCUUCUAAAACGGAUUCAGGUUAGCAUAUGUAUCAAUAUGUUGCCAUAUUUGUAUGAUUAUUCUUUGAGUUAUGAUAAACUAGGUCACUUCAACAUAAAACAUUGUAUGUCAAGUACAAUAUUUAAUUCACUU